Molecule: non-coding RNA, 357 nt
Organism: Salvelinus sp. IW2-2015
Lineage: Eukaryota; Metazoa; Chordata; Actinopteri; Salmoniformes; Salmonidae
Source: RefSeq, a predicted model, not a curated record
UAGAAAUCAGAGCCCUACUGUUGAGGACCCUCUGCCUGCUUUAGGCCAGAUGCAGGAUAGCAGAAUAGUACAUCGUUACCAGACUGGACUGUACCAUAUGUGUCCAGCGCAGUGACGAAGCUGUGAAGUUCUGCCAGGAUUGCAAGGCUACUUUCUGUGAGAACCAUGUUAGAGACCACUACCAGGUCCCAGGACUGAUGCAACACACAUUGGUGGAGGCCACUGAAGGAAGGAAAAACCAUUCCAAAUGUAGAUGAUCACGUCCAUCAAACUUAUGUUGAAACAGAACAAACUGUGACUCAGGUCUGCUCAUGGAAAACAGCCUUCUUCGUCAGUCUUCUGGGGAUUCUCAUACUG